AAUGGAAGAAUAAAAAAUCAGAUUUUUCCUCUUGAUUUUUAGCUUUUUCCUCCUGAAAAAAAAUUAAAUCCAACUAAAAAUACUAAAAAUCAAGAGAAAAAAUCUGAUUUGUUAUUCUCUUUUU
Gossypium hirsutum (cotton) is the source of this 124-nucleotide non-coding RNA. The record is from Rfam. Lineage: Eukaryota; Viridiplantae; Streptophyta; Magnoliopsida; Malvales; Malvaceae.